UAUCUCUGUAGAGUCUGCAUAUCAAUAAGCGGAGGAAAAGAAACUAACAAGGAUUCCCCUAGUAACGGCGAGUGAAGCGGGAAGAGCUCAAAUUUGAAAUCUUCAAGGUUUGACCUUGACGAAUUGUAGUUUAAAGAAGUGUUUUCGGUUAGAGGAGUAGUAAAAGUUCUUUGGAGUAGGACAUCAUAGAGGGUGAGAAUCCCGUAUUUGACUAUUCUUUCUAGCUUUGUGAUACACUUUCAAAGAGUCAGAUUGUUUGGGAAUGCAGUCCAAAAUGGGUGGUAAAUUUCAUCUAAAGCUAAAUAUUGGCGAGAGACCGAUAGCGAACAAGUACCGUGAGGGAAAGAUGAAAAGAACUUUGAAAAGAGAGUUAAACAGUACGUGAAAUUGUCAAAAGGGAAGCGUUUGACACCAGUGUUGUUUUUCCGAAAAUCAAUUAAAAAUUGAUUCAUGCCAGGUUGUAUUGACCUUAUCAGCUUGCAAUUUGGUUUUGGGUCUCUUUUUGAUGCACUUUUCGGUUAACAAGUCAACAUCAAUUUCCUUUGCUGUAAAAAGGUAAGAGGAAGGUGGCUUCAAUUUCGGUUGAAGUGUUUAUAGCCUUUUAUCUCUGCAGUCGGGGAGAUUGAGGUCUGCAGCGUAGAUCCUUCGGGGCUAGAUACAUUUAUGCUAAGUUAUAGCUUUUCAUAGACAACUUGUUGACUAUGUUUAGUCAUGUAGCUUACUCGUAAGUGCUAUUUUACCUACGCUUAGGAUGUUGAGCGCAUGUCUCUCUCU
This 774-nucleotide ribosomal RNA is filed under the name uncultured Neocallimastigales. Its description in RNAcentral is "partial large subunit ribosomal RNA". It matches the Rfam family "Eukaryotic large subunit ribosomal RNA", at positions 24 to 642 of the family's 3401-position model. The record is from RNAcentral. Lineage: Eukaryota; Fungi; Neocallimastigomycota; Neocallimastigomycetes; Neocallimastigales.